Molecule: ribosomal RNA, 1345 nt
Filed under: uncultured bacterium
Lineage: Bacteria
Description: bacterial SSU rRNA
Rfam family: Bacterial small subunit ribosomal RNA
Source: RNAcentral
GACGAACGCUGGCGGCGUGCUUAACACAUGCAAGUCGAACGAUGAAGCGGUGCUUGCACCGUGGAUUAGUGGCGAACGGGUGAGUAAUACGUGAGUGACCUACCUUUGACUCUGGGAUAAGCCUGGGAAACUGGGUCUAAUACCGGAUACGACCAAUCUCUGCAUGGGGUGUUGGUGGAAAGCAUUAUGGAGUGGUUUUAGAUGGGCUCACGGCCUAUCAGCUUGUUGGUGAGGUAAUGGCUUACCAAGGCGACGACGGGUAGCCGGCCUGAGAGGGUGACCGGCCACACUGGGACUGAGACACGGCCCAGACUCCUACGGGAGGCAGCAGUGGGGAAUAUUGCACAAUGGGCGCAAGCCUGAUGCAGCGACGCCGCGUGAGGGAUGACGGCCUUCGGGUUGUAAACCUCUGUUAGCAUCGAAGAAGCGAAAGUGACGGUAGGUGCAGAGAAAGCGCCGGCUAACUACGUGCCAGCAGCCGCGGUAAUACGUAAGGCGCGAGCGUUGUCCGGAAUUAUUGGGCGUAAAGAGCUUGUAAGCGGUUGGUCGCGUCUGCUGUGAAGGCCGGGGCUUAACUCCGGUUUUGCAGUGGGUACGGGCUAACUAGAGUGCAGUAGGGGAGACUGGAAUUCCUGGUGUAGCGGUGGAAUGCACAGAUAUCAGGAGGAACACCGAUGGCGAAGGCAGGUCUCUGGGCUGUGACUGACGCUGAGAAGCGAAAGCAUGGGGAGCGAACAGGAUUAGAUACCCUGGUAGUCCAUGCCGUAAACGUUGGGCACUAGGUGUGGGGGACAUUCCACGUUUUCCGCGCCGUAGCUAACGCAUUAAGUGCCCCGCCUGGGGAGUACGGCCGCAAGGCUAAAACUCAAAGGAAUUGACGGGGGCCCGCACAAGCGGCGGAGCAUGCGGAUUAAUUCGAUGCAACGCGAAGAACCUUACCAAGGCUUGACAUGCAUUAGAUCGCGUCAGAGAUGGCGCUUCCCUUCGGGGCUGGUGUACAGGUGGUGCAUGGUUGUCGUCAGCUCGUGUCGUGAGAUGUUGGGUUAAGUCCCGCAACGAGCGCAACCCUCGUUCUAUGUUGCCAGCGGUUCGGCCGGGGACUCAUAGGAGACUGCCGGGGUCAACUCGGAGGAAGGUGGGGAUGACGUCAAAUCAUCAUGCCCCUUAUGUCUUGGGCUUCACGCAUGCUACAAUGGCCGGUACAGAGGGUUGCGAUACUGUGAGGUGGAGCUAAUCCCUUAAAGCCGGUCUCAGUUCGGAUUGGGGUCUGCAACUCGACCCCAUGAAGUCGGAGUCGCUAGUAAUCGCAGAUCAGCAACGCUGCGGUGAAUACGUUCCCGGGCCU